CAAGUCGAGCGGCAGCGCGGGGGCAACCCUGGCGGCGAGCGGCGGACGGGUGAGUAAUACAUCGGAACGUGUCCUUUCGUGGGGGAUAACCAGUCGAAAGACUGGCUAAUACCGCAUGAGAUCUCACGAUGAAAGCGGGGGACCGCAAGGCCUCGCGCGAUUGGAGCGGCCGAUGUCGGAUUAGCUAGUUGGCGGGGUAAAAGCCCACCAAGGCUACGAUCCGUAGCUGGUUUGAGAGAACGACCAGCCACACUGGGACUGAGACACGGCCCAGACUCCUACGGGAGGCAGCAGUGGGGAAUUUUGGACAAUGGGGGCAACCCUGAUCCAGCCAUGCCGCGUGUGUGAAGAAGGCCUUCGGGUUGUAAAGCACUUUCGGCCGGAACGAAAUCGCGCGGGCUAUUACCCCGCGUGGAUGACGGUACCGGAAGAAGAAGCACCGGCUAACUACGUGCCAGCAGCCGCGGUAAUACGUAGGGUGCGAGCGUUAAUCGGAAUUACUGGGCGUAAAGGGUGCGCAGGCGGUCCUGCAAGUCAGGCGUGAAAUCCCCGGGCUUAACCUGGGAAUGGCACUUGAAACUACGGGACUGGAGUAUGGCAGAGGGAGGUGGAAUUCCACGUGUAGCGGUGAAAUGCGUAGAGAUGUGGAGGAACACCGAUGGCGAAGGCAGCCUCCUGGGCCAAUACUGACGCUCAUGCACGAAAGCGUGGGGAGCAAACAGGAUUAGAUACCCUGGUAGUCCACGCCCUAAACGAUGAUGACUAGUUGUUGGAGGAGUUAAAUCCUUUAGUAACGCAGCUAACGC
RNAcentral lists this ribosomal RNA (806 nucleotides) under uncultured beta proteobacterium. Its description in RNAcentral is "bacterial SSU rRNA". It matches the Rfam family "Bacterial small subunit ribosomal RNA", at positions 58 to 858 of the family's 1533-position model. Lineage: Bacteria; Pseudomonadati; Pseudomonadota; Betaproteobacteria. The record is from RNAcentral.